RNAcentral lists this non-coding RNA (70 nucleotides) under Serratia rubidaea. Lineage: Bacteria; Pseudomonadati; Pseudomonadota; Gammaproteobacteria; Enterobacterales; Yersiniaceae. The record is from RNAcentral. RNAcentral also lists the same sequence under 1 other name.
AAAGGCACGACAUUGCUCACAUUGCUUCCAGUAUUAUUUUUCAAGCCAGCUCGGGUGCUGGCUUUUUUUU